RNAcentral lists this ribosomal RNA (492 nucleotides) under uncultured bacterium. Its description in RNAcentral is "partial 16S ribosomal RNA". It matches the Rfam family "Bacterial small subunit ribosomal RNA", at positions 29 to 507 of the family's 1533-position model. The record is from RNAcentral.
AGUGAACGCUGGCGGUAGGCCUAACACAUGCAAGUCGAACGGCAGCACAGUAAGAGCUUGCUCUUACGGGUGGCGAGUGGCGGACGGGUGAGGAAUACAUCGGAAUCUACUUUUUCGUGGGGGAUAACGUAGGGAAACUUACGCUAAUACCGCAUACGACCUACGGGUGAAAGCAGGGGAUCUUCGGACCUUGCGCGAUUGAAUGAGCCGAUGUCGGAUUAGCUAGUUGGCGGGGUAAAGGCCCACCAAGGCGACGAUCCGUAGCUGGUCUGAGAGGAUGAUCAGCCACACUGGAGCUGAGACACGGUCCAGACUCCUACGGGAGGCAGCAGUGGGGAAUAUUGGACAAUGGGCGCAAGCCUGAUCCAGCCAUACCGCGUGGGUGAAGAAGGCCUUCGGGUUGUAAAGCCCUUUUGUUGGGAAAGAAAAGCAGCAGGUUAAGACCCCGCUGUUCUGACGGUACCCAAAGAAUAAGCACCGGCUAACUUCGUG